This is a long non-coding RNA of Eriocheir sinensis (Chinese mitten crab), 561 nucleotides long. RefSeq lists it as uncharacterized. The record is from RefSeq and is a predicted model, not a curated record. Lineage: Eukaryota; Metazoa; Arthropoda; Malacostraca; Decapoda; Varunidae. The transcript has 3 exons.
GAGGAGAACCACGUCGCCAGUCAUUGUUCUUCCUUGGUAGAGAAGACACACACGUGCGGAGCUUCCUCAGGAUCGGGGGCCGUCAGCUGCUGCCUCAAGGCGUGUUGUGGACGAACUGGAAACGGUUGACAUCGAGGGACGGAGGCAAGAUGAGGAGGCGAGGCGAGAGAACAACAGCUGCAGCGAGGCAUCCAAAUCCAGUCCAUUGCUGAGCCAAGGCCUGAGGUUGGAGCGGCUCUCACAGCCUGCUGGCCUGGACGGACUGCUGGCUGAGCGCCUCCUUCAUGAUUUUGAGCACCAGGUCGACAUUCUCCGGAGUACAGUUGUAGCCCAUGAGCCCCACCCGCCACACUUGCCCGGCACUGGGUCCCAGCCCUCCGCUGAUCUCCACCUUGUAGCUGAUUAAAACAAAGGCACCCGGAUAGUGGAGACGGUUGGCGUUCGCUUGGCUGGGUCGCUAAUGAAGAGCUGCAGGCCGAGGGAAGCCAGGCCCUCAUGCAGCCGCUGGGCACAGGCGGCGUGGCGGGCCCAGAGGGACUCCAGGCCCUCCGCACACACCAG